CCAGAAGUCGGCCUGUACGUAGCGACGGGUGCUGUACGCAUGACGUUGCUACUGUUCUUGUUUUGGCAGUUUGUUUCGAUAUUCACCGAUAGCCAGUCCAUCAAGAGGGCGUUUUGUAUUGGUUAUCCACCACGAAGCUGCGAUGGUAUUGAUUGAGCAGUGACUGAUUCAGGGAGCUGGUAAGUGUAGUUUCACAAUGGCAGAUGGAGGCAGUGAUGAUGAUGUCAUUCACCUGGCAAGCUUCAAUGUCCACCGCAGCCAAGGCUCCCGUUCCCGUAAGAGGGAGCUCAUCACCAUCUCCGAUGACUCCGAUGAGGAGCCUGUGACUCUGGUACCUGGCAGCCCUGUUUUAGUCCCCGACGAUGCAGAUGAUGACGACGUCAGCAUAUUGGAGGUGACUGAUAAACCCUGUUCUUAAAUAUGUUUGUGAAACAAACUUGUUAUUUAUCUGUUACUUUAUACAAAAAGGUCAGUUUGUUAUACAGGCGUGUUCUACUGUA
This 500-nucleotide long non-coding RNA is filed under the name Cottoperca gobio. RNAcentral describes it as "lncRNA (ENSCGOG00000003959.1)". The record is from RNAcentral. Lineage: Eukaryota; Metazoa; Chordata; Actinopteri; Perciformes; Bovichtidae.